UGCGGAGCCGCGCAGAGAGAAGCUGUGAGCGAAAAUUCACUGGCAAGAGUUGCGCUACACACACUCGGAUUUUUGUUAUUCCUGCCGAGGAUCACGCUGUCAAAACCGGGAUUUGCGGUGGACAAGAAGUGGCAGAAGCCACGGGGCGAUAUAGAACAUCUAAAAGGAAAAUUGGUUGAAGCUGCAAGAUGCCAUGUGGCUUUGUCUGAAUCAGCGUGUUCUGAUGCUUUCAGAUUUAUAAUACUCAAGACAGCAGGGAGCUGCUUAACCUGGCAGCUGCUCCAUCGUCAGCUACUUUCACACCUGGUCCCUCCCUCAGCUCAAGCUCGUCCUCCCUCCCUCUCUGUCUCCUAUUCAUGCAACAGCUUCAUUUCAGCUACGUUUGUCAGGUGGCUCUCUCCCCCAUUCAUCUGCCUGGCCACUGAUCGGAUACACACUAUUGCUUUUGAUUCCACAACAAGCUAUUAGCUCAGCCUCUCAGCAGCCAGUGUUAAUGGGAGUGAGUCAGCAAAUGAUGCUCACAAAACCUGCUCAUGGACCGGGGGAAGGCUGACAGCAGUCUGGGAGGUCAGGUGUAAAGCAUCAAGAACAGCCAUAGGAUGCCAACAGAUCAGUGCUAAGUAUUCUGAUACUGGACCGAACAAAGCCCAUCAUACACACAGUCACAUAUCAUACACACAAAAUAUAUUUGAGUGUGGCUCAGAUUGGGGCGG
Long non-coding RNA from Monopterus albus (swamp eel), 713 nucleotides. RefSeq lists it as uncharacterized. The transcript has 4 exons. The record is from RefSeq and is a predicted model, not a curated record. NCBI's taxonomy places the organism in Eukaryota, Metazoa, Chordata, Actinopteri, Synbranchiformes, Synbranchidae.